RNAcentral lists this unclassified non-coding RNA (20 nucleotides) under Chlamydomonas reinhardtii. Its description in RNAcentral is "small RNA Cre_1508". Lineage: Eukaryota; Viridiplantae; Chlorophyta; Chlorophyceae; Chlamydomonadales; Chlamydomonadaceae. The record is from RNAcentral.
CUGGUGCACCGCUACCUGGU